This is a non-coding RNA of Lolium perenne, 490 nucleotides long. The record is from RefSeq and is a predicted model, not a curated record. NCBI's taxonomy places the organism in Eukaryota, Viridiplantae, Streptophyta, Magnoliopsida, Poales, Poaceae.
GAGCAAACUCAACUACGGGUGAAAUCCCUCUUCAAUACCUUCAUUUUGGCGGUGGUUUCACCUCGAUUGACCUCCUGAAACUGAAAUGGUUCACAGAUCAAAAUCUGGUCAGAUCUGACUUUGUCGAAUUAAACCAGGAGCUUGGGAACGAAUUUUUGAAUGAAACAAAUUGGGGUAUGUUUGGUUUAUACCAUGGUGAUAACCGAGAGAGGCAAUUGCUAAGUUGUGAUACUCUCAUACCUUUACUAGAUGCGAACAAUUCCGGAGAAGAAGAAGAAGUGGAAUCGGACGAGGAUUUUAUUUAUGUUGUUGGGAUUCUUAUAUUGAUGGAGUUGAAGAAGUCCAGGGACAAAUAAGCCAAGGCAAGCCAUCUUUUGAUCUCUUAUUCGGUGUCUAGUUGGAUGUCAUUUGUUGAUAUCCAAAGCACCUUGGUUCUAUGUGUGUUGUUCUCCUUAUUAUUGUCAUCUAUGUAUGGUUGCUAGUGGAGUAC